RNAcentral lists this ribosomal RNA (245 nucleotides) under uncultured bacterium. RNAcentral describes it as "partial 16S ribosomal RNA". It matches the Rfam family "Bacterial small subunit ribosomal RNA", at positions 524 to 768 of the family's 1533-position model. The record is from RNAcentral.
UACAGAGAGUGCAAGCGUUAAUCGGAAUUACUGGGCGUAAAGCGCGCGUAGGUGGAUAUUUAAGUUGGAUGUGAAAGCCCUGGGCUUAACCUGGGAAUUGCAUUCAAUACUGGAUGUCUCGAGUAUGGUAGAGGGAAGUGGAAUUUCCGGUGUAGCGGUGAAAUGCGUAGAUAUCGGAAGGAACACCAGUGGCGAAGGCGGCUUCCUGGACCAAUACUGACACUGAGGCGCGAAAGCGUGGGGAG